CCUACGGGAGGCAGCAGUGGGGAAUAUUGCACAAUGGGGGAAACCCUGAUGCAGCGACGCCGCGUGAGUGAAGAAGUAUUUCGGUACGUAAAGCUCUAUCAGCAGGGAAGAAAAUGACGGUACCUGACUAAGAAGCCCCGGCUAACUACGUGCCAGCAGCCGCGGUAAUACGUAGGGGGCACGCGUUAUCCGGAUUUACUGGGUGUAAAGGGAGCGUAGACGGCAGCGCAAGUCUGGAGUGAAAUCCCAUGGCUUAACCAUGGAACUGCUUUGGAAACUGGGCAGCUAGAGUGCAGGAGAGGUAAGCGGAAUUCGUAGUGUAGCGGUGAAAUGCGUAGAUAUUAGGAGGAACACCAGUGGCGAAGGCGGCUUACUGGACUGUAACUGACGUGGAGGCUCGAAAGCGUGGGGAGCAAACAGGAUUAGAUACCCUAGUAGUC
Molecule: ribosomal RNA, 440 nt
Filed under: uncultured bacterium
Lineage: Bacteria
Description: partial 16S ribosomal RNA
Rfam family: Bacterial small subunit ribosomal RNA
Source: RNAcentral